UGGGGGAUAUUGCACAAUGGGGGAAACCCUGAUGCAGCGACGCCGCGUGAGGGAAGACGGUUUUCGGAUUGUAAACCUCUGUCUCCGAGGACGAUAAUGACGGUACUCGGGGAGGAAGCCACGGCUAACUACGUGCCAGCAGCCGCGGUAAUACGUAGGUGGCAAGCGUUGUCCGGAAUUACUGGGUGUAAAGGGAGCGCAGGCGGGAGCAUAAGUCAAGUGUUAAAACGAUCGGCUCAACCGAUCGUCGCGCUUGAAACUAUGCAUCUUGAGUGAAGCAGAGGCAGGCGGAAUUCCUAGUGUAGCGGUGAAAUGCGUAGAUAUUAGGAGGAACACCAGUGGCGAAGGCGGCCUGCUGGGCUUUAACUGACGCUGAGGCUCGAAAGUGUGGGGAGCAAACA
This is a ribosomal RNA of 401 nucleotides. It matches the Rfam family "Bacterial small subunit ribosomal RNA", at positions 355 to 774 of the family's 1533-position model.